UGUAUAAUGGGUCAGCGACUUAUAUUCUGUAGCAAGGUUAACCGAAUAGGGGAGCCGAAGGGAAACCGAGUCUUAACUGGGCGUUAAGUUGCAGGGUAUAGACCCGAAACCCGGUGAUCUAGCCAUGGGCAGGUUGAAGGUUGGGUAACACUAACUGGAGGACCGAACCGACUAAUGUUGAAAAAUUAGCGGAUGACUUGUGGCUGGGGGUGAAAGGCCAAUCAAACCGGGAGAUAGCUGGUUCUCCCCGAAAGCUAUUUAGGUAGCGCCUCGUGAAUUCAUCUCCGGGGGUAGAGCACUGUUUCGGCAAGGGGGUCAUCCCGACUUACCAACCCGAUGCAAACUGCGAAUACCGGAGAAUGUUAUCACGGGAGACACACGGCGGGUGCUAACGUCCGUCGUGAAGAGGGAAACAACCCAGACCGCCAGCUAAGGUCCCAAAGUCAUGGUUAAGUGGGAAACGAUGUGGGAAGGCCCAGACAGCCAGGAUGUUGGCUUAGAAGCAGCCAUCAUUUAAAGAAAGCGUAAUAGCUCACUGGUCGAGUCGGCCUGCGCGGAAGAUGUAACGGGGCUAAACCAUGCACCGAAGCUGCGGCAGCGACGCUUAUGCGUUGUUGGGUAGGGGAGCGUUCUGUAAGCCUGCGAAGGUGUGCUGUGAGGCAUGCUGGAGGUAUCAGAAGUGCGAAUGCUGACAUAAGUAACGAUAAAGCGGGUGA
This 716-nucleotide ribosomal RNA is filed under the name Escherichia coli. Its description in RNAcentral is "partial 23S ribosomal RNA". It matches the Rfam family "Bacterial large subunit ribosomal RNA", at positions 609 to 1324 of the family's 2925-position model. Lineage: Bacteria; Pseudomonadati; Pseudomonadota; Gammaproteobacteria; Enterobacterales; Enterobacteriaceae. The record is from RNAcentral.